Long non-coding RNA from Chinchilla lanigera (long-tailed chinchilla), 641 nucleotides. RefSeq lists it as uncharacterized. The record is from RefSeq and is a predicted model, not a curated record. Lineage: Eukaryota; Metazoa; Chordata; Mammalia; Rodentia; Chinchillidae. The transcript is spliced from 4 exons.
UCUUUGGUCUCUUGAGGAAUACAGCCCGAAUUUUUGCCCAUCUCUGAAGCGACUGUCCCAUGAUAUAUUCAAUGGCAUCUUACAACUGCAGUUAGCAGAAGAGCAGUCAUGCCUCCCAAGUGCUGGGAUUAUAGGCAUGGACCACCACACCUGGCUGCUAUGGACAUCUUGUUCUCUCUGCCCUGGUAGGGCUGCCUAAAGGCCUUCGGAAUUCCGUAACAAAUUAUGGAAUUUUCAGUAAUAAAUAAUUGGAUUACUUUCUAGAAAAGAAGCAUAUACAAAGUCCACUAACUACAUUUUAAAAACAGUAUCAUCUCCCAACGAGAACAGAAAAACUGCAAAGCAGUUACUAGGACAGGUAUUCAAGGAUAUGACCGAGGAUAGUACUGAGGAAGUUCAACGAAUGAAUAAAGCAGAAGUGUGGUUUUCCAGUUCCGAAUCAAAAAGUGACAAUCCAAUGUGUGCUUCCUGCCUUCUCAACUGCAACCAUCAAGCUUCAAGCAGGAGAAACUAUUCUGCUCAUUUGUUCCUUUAACACUUACUAAUCUAUGAAUACUCUAUAAAGCAGUACGGGAAUAGUAUAUUACAUCGGGUUGGUAUUGUCUGGAAUGCAGAAGUGAAUAAAAGAACAGCCUGAAUGA